Molecule: non-coding RNA, 125 nt
Organism: Aspergillus alliaceus
Lineage: Eukaryota; Fungi; Ascomycota; Eurotiomycetes; Eurotiales; Aspergillaceae
Source: the annotation of a RefSeq genome assembly
GGUUGUGUGGGGUAGUGGUUAUCCCUUCGGAUUUUGAAGUCAUAUUUGUUAAUCAGUUAACUAAUAACUGAAUAUAUAAAAGUGUUUAUCUUCCGACAACCCCGGUUCGAAUCCGGGCACGACCU